RNAcentral lists this long non-coding RNA (1811 nucleotides) under Oryctolagus cuniculus (rabbit). RNAcentral describes it as "lncRNA (ENSOCUG00000015433.4)". The record is from RNAcentral. Lineage: Eukaryota; Metazoa; Chordata; Mammalia; Lagomorpha; Leporidae.
GGUGACCGACAGGAAAGGGUUAAUGGGCUGAGGCUGGUGGCCUUUGAUGGAGACUGAAAGAUCACACAGCACCCAAGGCUGCGUCUCAUCCGCCCUCCUCUUUCCGGUGCAGCUCAGCUCCUGGGCUCGCCGCCGCACACAGGAAGCCGGACACACGCUCGCCAGGGAGAGGCUGGGCCUGACUCCAGCUCAGAGCGUGCGGCUGUCUUUCGGGGCCGGAGAUGCAGAGCACGNCCAGCUACCUGCGUCCCCGGGAGGUGCAGGAGAGGGAGUUUGAGGUCCUGCGGAAGUUGAACCACCAGAACAUCGUCAAGCUCUUCGCGGUGGAGGAGACGGGGGGCAGCCGGCAGAGGGUGCUGGUGAUGGAGCACUGCUCUGGGGGCAGCCUGCUGAGUGUGCUGGAGAGCCCGGAGAACGCCUUCGGGCUGUCGGAGGACGAGUUCCUGGUCGUUCUGCGCUGUGUGGUGGCCGGCAUGAACCACCUGCGGGAGAACGGCGUGGUGCACCGCGACAUCAAGCCGGGCAACAUCAUGCGCCUGGUGGGCCACGAGGGCCAGAGCGUCUACAAGCUCACGGACUUCGGCGCCGCGCGCCAGCUGCUGGACGACGAGAAGUUCGUCUCGGUCUACGGCACCGAGGAGUACCUGCACCCGGACAUGUACGAGCGGGCGGUGCUUCGCAAGCCCCAGCAAAAGGCGUUCGGGGUGACCGUGGACCUCUGGAGCAUCGGGGUGACCCUGUACCACGCAGCCACCGGCAGUCUGCCCUUCGUGCCCUACGGCGGGCCGCGGCGCAACAAGGAGAUCAUGUACCGGAUCACCACCGAGAAGCCCUCCGGGGCCAUCGCGGGCACUCAGCGGCGGGAGAACGGGCCCCUGGAGUGGAGCUACGCCCUGCCGGUCACCUGCCGGCUGUCCAUGGGCCUGCAGGGCCAGCUGGUGCCCAUCCUGGCCAACAUCCUGGAGGUGGAGCCGGCCAAGUGUUGGGGCUUCGACCAGUUCUUCGCCGAGACAAGCGACAUCCUGCAGCGCGUCACCGUGCACGUCUUCUCCCUGUCCCAGGCCGUGCUGCACCACGUCUACAUCCACGCCCACAACACGGUGGCCGUCUUCCUGGAGGCCGUGUGCGAGCAGACCAGCGUGGGCCCCCGGCAGCAGGAGUACUUCUUUGAGGGCCACCCGUGCGUCCUGGAGCCCAGCGUCUCGGCUCAGCACAUCGCGCACACGACUGCCAGCAGCCCCCUGACCCUGUUCAGCGCGGCCAGCGAGACCCCCAAGGGGCUGGCCUUCAGGGACCGUGAGUACGGCCGCCCGGGGCUUGGUUGCUUUUCACGGUGGGUGCAGGUCUGGGUUCUAAUUCUGCACGUGUCUCCGAGACGCUGUGGGGCUUGGGCAGGUGUCCUCAGAGCUGUGACAGCAGCUGCAGCUGCCGCGGGGAGACUCCGGGCCGGGCCAGGUGGGAGAAAAGGGGGAAAGGCCCGGGGGCGGAGCUUCACCGUCCCUCCAAGUUCUAAAAAAAAAUCAUCGCUUCUCAGUUGGAUGAUGCCCGCUACCUCCUCCUUCUCAGAGGAAGAGGGAAGAGGAUUUAGGGAAUUAACCUUAAAAUCUGUGGACAAGAGGGUGGUUCGAGUCCCGUUUCCUGGCUGUUGAGACAGGGCCUUGGGCACGAGCGUGUAGAUCUCCAAGUUGUCCACGAGGUGGCAGUGAGGGACCACAACUGUAAAGAUGCGCCUUCCGUGCUGGGAAGGGGGGGUUUCGGCGGGGAGUCUGGGUCGCUUGCAUUGGGAGACUGGCAAUGUGGGGUGAGUGUGA